CUUCCAUUUUGUUGGCACUGAAAUACACACAGAAGAGGAGUAGAGACUUCAAGAUCCUCUCCUCUCUGGGAGCCCACCUAGGAAUACGAAAACAGAAUUUUCUGACAUCCCUAACCACAAUAAGAAGCCUUGGUUCAGAAAGAAAGUACAUGUUCAGCAUCUCAAUAAGUUCAGCUCAUAGAUGAAAAUUCACAUGAAUCGUUUAUGAUGUCACAAGACCAUAGAAGAAUCAGACCACAAAGCCUAUGCAGUUAGCAGCCAGAAUGAAAGACAUACCUUCCUCCGACCUAUUCUGGAGCACCUCAGCUUGUGCCUGUGCCUUCACUCCUCUCCCCUUCAAUGAAUUAGAAGCAAAGCCACCAGUCCAUCCUUUGAACUGCUACAGUCCCAGAAGAAUCAGCUAAGACGACCCUUCACUAUAUGUGCAUGUGAGAUGUCUGUAAGACUUUACAUUUUGCAAGCUUGCAUCAGUCCUACCUAACAUUGUCAUGUCUCUGAAUGUAAAUUUUAUGGAAAA
Podarcis raffonei (Aeolian wall lizard) is the source of this 517-nucleotide long non-coding RNA. RefSeq lists it as uncharacterized. The transcript is spliced from 4 exons. The record is from RefSeq and is a predicted model, not a curated record. NCBI's taxonomy places the organism in Eukaryota, Metazoa, Chordata, Lepidosauria, Squamata, Lacertidae.